AUAAUACGGAUGGCUAGUUUUAUAUAUUAAAGUCCUGUAAGAGAACGGUUAUUUGUUUUGAAGUGAAUUUAAAACAUACUAAAAGGAAAUAAUUUUCUUCAAAAUAUAUCACAGGACUUGUAAAAUUAUACUCAAGGAUAAAAAAUCAUGAGUGAGCAUGUUAAAUCGUUUAUUGUGAAACAUGGAAACGAGAAGGUGCAGAUUGCUCACAAGUCACCAGAGAAGUUUAUUGAACGAUGCAAACAUAAUUUUCGAAUUGAUGAUAAGACUACAUUGACGUUUAAACUACCAGAUAGCGAGAUCAGUGUUGACAUAGAAAGCAUUGAAAUAUUGCCUAAUAAAUCGGAGUUGCAUCUGACCCCUAUAUGCAAUAUUGAAUCCGAUUCGUCAGAUACAGAGGAAGGACAAGUGAAAAAAUAUUCACGUAA
This is a long non-coding RNA of Ruditapes philippinarum (Manila clam), 428 nucleotides long. RefSeq lists it as uncharacterized. Lineage: Eukaryota; Metazoa; Mollusca; Bivalvia; Venerida; Veneridae. The record is from RefSeq and is a predicted model, not a curated record. The transcript has 4 exons.